Molecule: ribosomal RNA, 253 nt
Filed under: uncultured bacterium
Lineage: Bacteria
Description: partial 16S ribosomal RNA
Rfam family: Bacterial small subunit ribosomal RNA
Source: RNAcentral
UACGUAGGGGGCAAGCGUUGUCCGGAUUUAUUGGGCGUAAAGAGCGUGUAGGCGGUCUGGUAGGUCCGUUGUGAAAACUCGAGGCUCAACCUCGAGACGCCGAUGGAAACCAUCAGACUAGAGUCCGGAAGAGGAGAGUGGAAUUCCUGGUGUAGCGGUGGAAUGCGCAGAUAUCAGGAGGAACACCGGUGGCGAAGGCGGGUCUCUGGGCCGUUACUGACGCUGAGGAGCGAAAGCGUGGGGAGCGAACAGG